Papaver somniferum (opium poppy) is the source of this 877-nucleotide long non-coding RNA. RefSeq lists it as uncharacterized. The record is from RefSeq and is a predicted model, not a curated record. The transcript is spliced from 2 exons. NCBI's taxonomy places the organism in Eukaryota, Viridiplantae, Streptophyta, Magnoliopsida, Ranunculales, Papaveraceae.
GAAGAAUAUAGGGAUGGGUCAUAUACUAUUCUCUUCGUAUGAAUGUCUUCUACAACAUAUCCAAAAUUCAAAGAAAAUGAAGAAACAAGCAAGGAGACGUGGCCGAAACAUUGGACAACAUAUGUGAAGAGAAUUGGAUUAAAUUUUAUCAGAAAACAAGAUGGAAAUGCAUGUGAGGUAACCCACUGUAAAAGUUUCAUGAAGUUUUGAUCAUUUUAGGUACCCCAAAGUAUGGGAGAAUCAGAACUGAAAUUCCUGAAAAAUGGUUCAUGUUACUAUUUCAAUGGGUUGUUGUUGGAGCACUUAGACUCUGAGUCUGCCCUUGGAGUCUUCUAAGAAGUUGUAGGUAUACUUCUCUAGUUUCCAACGAGAUAUCAGUCACUUAUUUCAUCGAGUAACGAAUCUUGUAGGAAUUUUUGAACACACCUGGUCCGAAAUGGAAUUUCUGAAGUAGGUUAUAUGCUUUCUUGGAGCUAUACUUCUGUGUUCUCGAAUCAUUAUGAGUCUGAACUAGAUUUGGGUGUCUUGUAAUGGAAUGUAUCCCUGGGAAUAAUGUUUCCGAAUUGAUAUUAGGCGCUACAUUUUGAAUUAUAAAUUGUGAAUUAUGCCCUUUCUAAGCACUAUUGUUUUGCGCUCCUUGUAAUCCUGUGUAGUCAUGUUCAUCAUACCUUAACUCAUUAGGUGGUUGUCAUCAAGCUGAGAUUUCUAUAUAUGAUCAUACAUUUUAGUUGUAAAGUGAGGGAUACAUUUCAGGUGAAUUUAGUCACAUUUGCUAAGCUGGAUAGUGGUAUUGGUGUACCUUAUUAUCUAGUCUUAUUAAUGAAUUUACUGUUAUCACAUUGCAAUGAGGUUAGAGUUCGAUUUGCUUAAGCACUUC